Molecule: ribosomal RNA, 292 nt
Filed under: uncultured bacterium
Lineage: Bacteria
Also listed under: 2 other names
Description: partial 16S ribosomal RNA
Source: RNAcentral
GGACUACUGGGGUUUCUAAUCCCGUUUGCUCCCCUAGCUUUCGCGCCUCAGCGUCAGUGAAGGUCCAGUCCGUCGCUUUCGCCACCGGCGUUCCUGAUGAUAUCAACGCAUUUCACCGCUCCACCAUCAGUUCCACAGACCCCUACCUCCCUCGAGACUACCAGUAUCCAAGGCAGUUUUCCGGUUGAGCCGAAAGAUUUCACCCCGGACUUGGUAGCCCGCCUACGCGCCCUUUAAGCCCAGUGAUUCCGAACAACGUUUGGACGGUUCGUCUUACCGCGGCUGCUGGCAC